This 253-nucleotide ribosomal RNA is filed under the name uncultured bacterium. Its description in RNAcentral is "partial 16S ribosomal RNA". It matches the Rfam family "Bacterial small subunit ribosomal RNA", at positions 524 to 776 of the family's 1533-position model. The record is from RNAcentral.
UACGGAGGGUGCAAGCGUUAUCCGGAUUCACUGGGUUUAAAGGGUGCGUAGGCGGGCAUGUAAGUCAGUGGUGAAAUCUUUGGGCUUAACCCGAAAACUGCCAUUGAUACUAUAUGUCUUGAAUAUUGUGGAGGUUAGCGGAAUAUGUCAUGUAGCGGUGAAAUGCUUAGAUAUGACAUAGAACACCAAUUGCGAAGGCAGCUAACUACGCAUAUAUUGACGCUGAGGCACGAAAGCGUGGGGAUCAAACAGG